This 1352-nucleotide ribosomal RNA is filed under the name metagenome. RNAcentral's name for it is "bacterial LSU rRNA". It matches the Rfam family "Bacterial large subunit ribosomal RNA", at positions 1537 to 2870 of the family's 2925-position model. The record is from RNAcentral.
AAAAUCCGCUGCUCAUAUAGCCUGAGAACUGACGGUGACCCCGUAUGGGGGAUGAUUCGGUGAUCCUAUGCUGCCUAGAAAAACCUCGACGCGAUGGUUCUAGCCGCCCGUACCCUAAACCGACUCAGGUGGUCAGGUAGAGAAUACUAAGGCGACGAGAUAAUCAUGGUUAAGGAACUCGGCAAAAUGCCCCCGUAACUUCGGGAGAAGGGGGGCCUGAGGCGUGUACCGGCUUGCCCGGGAAGCGUUUGAAGGCCGCAGAGACCAGGGGGAAGCGACUGUUUACUAAAAACACAGGUCCGUGCGAAGUCGCAAGACGAUGUAUACGGACUGACGCCUGCCCGGUGCUGGAAGGUUAAGAGGACUGGUCAGCUCUUCGGAGCGAAGCUGAGAAUUUAAGCCCCAGUAAACGGCGGUGGUAACUAUAACCAUCCUAAGGUAGCGAAAUUCCUUGUCGGGUAAGUUCCGACCUGCACGAAUGGCGUAACGACUUCCCCGCUGUCUCAACCGUGAACUCGGCGAAAUUGCACUACGAGUAAAGAUGCUCGUUACGCGCAGCAGGACGGAAAGACCCCGGGACCUUUACUAUAGCUUGGUAUUGGUGUUCGGUGCGGCUUGUGUAGGAUAGGUGGGAGACUGUGAAGCCGGCACGCCAGUGUCGGUGGAGUCAACGUUGAAAUACCACUCUGGUCGCUCUGGAUACCUAACUUCGGUCCGUGAUCCGGACCAGGGACAGUGCCUGGUGGGUAGUUUAACUGGGGCGGUUGCCUCCUAAAAUGUAACGGAGGCGCUCAAAGGUUCCCUCAGCCUGGUUGGCAAUCAGGUGUCGAGUGCAAGUGCACAAGGAGCUUGACUGUGAGACUGACAGGUCGAGCAGGGACGAAAGUCGGAACUAGUGAUCCGGCGGUGGCUUGUGGAAGCGCCGUCGCUCAACGGAUAAAAGGUACCCCGGGGAUAACAGGCUGAUCUUGCCCAAGAGUCCAUAUCGACGGCAUGGUUUGGCACCUCGAUGUCGGCUCGUCGCAUCCUGGGGCUGGAGUAGGUCCCAAGGGUUGGGCUGUUCGCCCAUUAAAGCGGUACGCGAGCUGGGUUUAGAACGUCGUGAGACAGUUCGGUCCCUAUCCGCUGCGCGCGCAGGAAACUUGAGAAGACCUGUCCCUAGUACGAGAGGACCGGGACGGACUAACCUCUGGUGUGCCAGUUGUUCCGCCGGGAGCAUGGCUGGUUGGCUACGUUGGGAAGAGAUAACCGCUGAAAGCAUCUAAGCGGGAAGCUUGCUUCAAGAUGAGGUUUCCACGCCCUUCGGGGUGAGAGGCUCCCAGUAGACCACUGGGUUGAUAGGCCGGAUGUGG